UCCCUGGUGGUCUAAUGGCUAAGGAUCCUGCGCGCUCACCGCCGUGGCCCGGGUUUGAUUCCCAGGUGGGGAA
RNAcentral lists this transfer RNA (73 nucleotides) under Pangasianodon hypophthalmus (striped catfish). RNAcentral's name for it is "tRNA-Glu". Lineage: Eukaryota; Metazoa; Chordata; Actinopteri; Siluriformes; Pangasiidae. The record is from RNAcentral.